This 1395-nucleotide long non-coding RNA is filed under the name Vulpes vulpes (red fox). Its description in RNAcentral is "lncRNA (ENSVVUG00000027945.1)". Lineage: Eukaryota; Metazoa; Chordata; Mammalia; Carnivora; Canidae. The record is from RNAcentral.
ACCCUGCUAUGGGUAGAAAGGGUGGCGGUCGGCCGCGUCCGGCAGGCCCCUCGGCCGCCGCCCCUGCGGGUCCUGCCCCGGGCACGGGGUCCCGUGAUGGCGGCAGUGUGGAUGGAGCCGGUACCGUUGAGUGGACUUUGCUCUGGGCGCUGCUGCCUCUGCUCAAGUGGCGCGGGCUUGUCACUUCAUCCCAGUCCUACAGCUGUGGCGGGUCUCUGGCAGGUGUCCAGUCACUGCAUGAAGGAUGGAAGGUGCCUCCUGCCAAGGGCUCCCACAGCUACAGAUCCAGCCCCUGCCCUGACCUGCAGUCUCUGAGGAGCAGAAGGCUUUGGGACCCCAUCCAGGCCCUGCCACUUCCCAAGCAGGUACCACCACUUCAUCAUCACCCAGGAUAAUCAGUGAGUCUCAGCUGCUGUUGCUGUAAUUAUUAUUGUUGCUGUUUUCAUUAUCUUUGUUACUUUUUCCCAUUCCUGUGGCAUCUUAAAGUCCUUACUGUUCUAUGCCUCACAGUCCACAUAGGGAGGUCCUGACCUCAUGGCAUUCUCCAUUGGCUCCCACAUAGGAGGCUCUGUCUCUCUUUUUUUNNNNNNNNNNNNNNNNNNNNNNNNNNNNNNNNNAGGCAGAGACACAAGAGGGAGAAGCAGGCUCUAUGCAGGGAUCCUGACGUGGGACUUGAUCCCGGGUCUCCAGAAUCAGGCCCUGGGCUGAAGGCAGCGCUAAACCGCUGAGCCACCUGGGCUGCCCAGGAGGCUCUGUCUCUUAUGCUGCUAUAUUCCAGGCAAAACAGCAUCUCUGCCUCUUUAAGUUCAGCGCAGAGCUCAGCCCUCACAGGGUAUUUGGUUACUCUGCUCCCUUGCCAUCAAGAGAGAUGGACUCUGAUUCCUAUCAGUAGCCCCAAGACCAACACACUGCCUCUGACUUUUCAGAUGCCUGUGACCUUUGAUUAUGUGGCCGUGACUUUUACCCAGGAGGAGUGGGGGCAGCUGGAUCUGGCCCAGAGGACCCUGUAUGAGGAGGUGAUGCUGGAGACCUCCAGGCUCCUGGUGUCUCUGGGUAAGGCUUCCCUAACUCUGCCAUAUGGGAAAUCUGUAACCUCCUCCACUCCACUCUCUGGCUUCAGGCCUGGCUACUUGUGAAGGCUGCUGUAGCCAUCCUGUCCUCCUCCCCACUUCAGUCAUUUUCUAGACUCCUCUUUUCCUGCCUACUCUCCUGUGUCUUAAGGAGGGUUAGGCAAGAAACAUAGUUUGCUUUUGGUCACAACCAAAGGAGAAGGAUGUGCUGGGAGAAGAUGGAGGUAUCUCACAGAACCUAAAGGCAGGAAUUCCAGCUGGGUCCCUGGGGGACUGAUACAGGAACUUAUAAACGCACAGUUAUGCCCUGGCUACUGGGGCUUUC